This 408-nucleotide ribosomal RNA is filed under the name uncultured bacterium. RNAcentral's name for it is "bacterial SSU rRNA". It matches the Rfam family "Bacterial small subunit ribosomal RNA", at positions 8 to 418 of the family's 1533-position model. The record is from RNAcentral.
AGAGUUUGAUCCUGGCUCAGAUUGAACGCUGGCGGCAUGCUUUACACAUGCAAGUCGAACGGCAGCACGGGCUUCGGCCUGGUGGCGAGUGGCGAACGGGUGAGUAAUGCGUCGGAACGCGCCGAGUAGUGGGGGAUAACGCAGCGAAAGCUGUGCUAAUACCGCAUACGUACUGAGGUAGAAAGUGGGGGACCUUCGGGCCUCACGCUAUUCGAGCGACCGACGUCUGAUUAGCUAGUUGGUGGGGUAAAGGCUCACCAAGGCGACGAUCAGUAGCGGGUCUGAGAGGAUGAUCCGCCACACUGGGACUGAGACACGGCCCAGACUCCUACGGGAGGCAGCAGUGGGGAAUUUUGGACAAUGGGCGCAAGCCUGAUCCAGCCAUGCCGCGUGUCUGAAGAAGGCCUU